UCAUACUAGCAACAGUUUUAAAGACUGUCGAUUUUAUUGUUAAAAUCAUUCUUGAACAUGCGAUGAAAAAGUUGUUCGUAAUUCACAAAAAAGAUAAUCAUAUGAAUUUUAUUCAAUUGAUAUAUGUAAAGUUUUAACAUUUUGCACUAAAUAUCAUGUUUUCUAUAAGUUAAACAUGUUUUCGAUGAUGUUCGUUUUUUCUAAGUAAAAAAAAAAAAUGUCUUCAACAUCUCAACUACGUCAAAACUUUGUUAAUCAACCAAUGGGAGACAGACCUAUUACUGACAUACCGAGUGUCGGCCCAAUAUAUGGCGAACGUCUAACUAAUAUUGGAUUUAGUAAAGCAUAUAAUCUUUAUGGUAAAUUUCUUGUAGAAGGCAAAAGCGAAUCACAAUUCGUCAAUUGGUAUCAAAGUAUAACACGGGCAAAUAAUACGCAAGCUAAAACAUGUUUUGAUACUUUAAAAGCUUAUGAUGAUGCACAUAAUUAAUAAAUGGAAGUGAAAUCAUUAUGUUAAAUUGUUUACAGCAAAUAAAGAGAAUUUAAAUAAGAAAAAAUAUAUAAAAACUAAUUUAAAUGUUUGAUUAAUUCAUUAAAAAAUUAUUUUGUGUUUUUCCUAAUAUUUUAAAUACGGUUAUCUAUUCUUGUUUUUCUUUGGUUCAAUUUUUUAAGUGUUUAUUGUUAUAGAAUUUAAUAACAGCUUGAUAAUUAAAGUUAUAAAGAAAGUCUUUUUUGGUUUAUUUUCACAUAAUUUUAUUUUUCUAAACCUUCGACCCAAAUCCUUAAUAUUGUAUUUUUUAUCUUUAAAAUUUAUGGAAAAAUUGCUUUCUUAUUGACUAACUUUUAGAUUAGAUGUUUUUAAUUAAGCAUAAAAAAAUUCAUUAUCAUUCA
Molecule: non-coding RNA, 891 nt
Organism: Hydra vulgaris (swiftwater hydra)
Lineage: Eukaryota; Metazoa; Cnidaria; Hydrozoa; Anthoathecata; Hydridae
Source: RefSeq, a predicted model, not a curated record